RNAcentral lists this ribosomal RNA (492 nucleotides) under uncultured bacterium. Its description in RNAcentral is "partial 16S ribosomal RNA". It matches the Rfam family "Bacterial small subunit ribosomal RNA", at positions 29 to 507 of the family's 1533-position model. The record is from RNAcentral.
AUUGAACGCUGGCGGCAUGCUUUACACAUGCAAGUCGAACGGUAACAGGCCUUCGGGUGCUGACGAGUGGCGAACGGGUGAGUAAUGCAUCGGAACGUACCCAGAGGUGGGGGAUAACGCAGCGAAAGCUGUGCUAAUACCGCAUGUGAUCUGAGGAUGAAAGCGGGGGACCGAGCAGCAAUGUUUGGCCUCGCGCCUUUGGAGCGGCCGAUGUCGGAUUAGCUAGUUGGUGGGGUAAAGGCCUAUCAAGGCGACGAUCCGUAGCUGGUCUGAGAGGACGACCAGGCACACUGGGACUGAGACGCGGCCCAGACUCCUACGGGAGGCAGCAGUGGGGAAUUUUGGACAAUGGGCGCAAGCCUGAUCCAGCAAUGCCGCGUGCGGGAAGAAGGCCUUCGGGUUGUAAACCGCUUUUGGCAGGAACGAAACGGUGUCCGCUAAUACCGGGCGCUAAUGACGGUACCUGCAGAAUAAGCACCGGCUAACUACGUG